This is a long non-coding RNA of Colias croceus (clouded yellow), 2539 nucleotides long. RefSeq lists it as uncharacterized. The transcript has 2 exons. The record is from RefSeq and is a predicted model, not a curated record. NCBI's taxonomy places the organism in Eukaryota, Metazoa, Arthropoda, Insecta, Lepidoptera, Pieridae.
AUUUGAAUGUACGUUUUUACCAGGCCGUUGGGUUUAUAUGGAAUGUUACUUCAUGAGUCAUUCAUUACUCCGGUAUUGAUAAAACAGCACGCAACUAAUAAAAGCUAUAAACGAACCUAUUAACACGUUCAGUUUCAUCAGGCGCUUCAUUAGUGACCGAUGCGGGAAUAAUUUCUAAUAUAAUAUUCCGUUUCGUGGUUGGCACAUUCGUAUCAUCUCCGGUGUAAACAGACAACAAUUAUGCAGAGAGAACUAACAAAACGUGUAAAUGGGGCAAUUACCGCUGGCUAUGUAGGCUGCCGUACAAUUAGUGGCUUGCUAAUAGCUUUCAUCACCAAUAGUUUCAUGCUACGCGCCGUGUGGGAGCUCCAUCAGAUCGAGAUCGUCUCUCGCUGUGAUCGCAUCAGAUUUCGGUUGUGGAGUUCGAUAUUCAAAUUUUUUAUCGUUCGAUUUUAAAUUAGGUUGCGUUCAAAUAGUUGCCUUGUAGUUUUUACGACUGACUUUCCGGAUAUUUAGUUUUCAGAUGUGAUUUCGUCGCCGAGUGGGUCACGCAUCAAGGCGCUCUUGGUUGGUACUUGGUAAUGUAAUUUAGUUUAAUUAUUUUAGAAUAAUAAUUGAUUAAAAAAUUAUUAUUCAUUUCAAUACAAUCUGGUAUUAUGCUAUUUAAUUAUUUAUGUUAUAUAAGUUGUAUCUGAAGCAUCUAUAUCAUUUUUUCAGUCCUAAUAUUUUUAUUAUUGUAGGUAAUUUCAUUUCAUUAUAAAUUUAUUCUAUCAAAAUGGUACUAAAAUCUCAAAAUUAUAUAAUUUUUCACUUGUGUGUAUUCUCGAUAUUUCGAUGUAAAUAAUUUUCUCACUAUAUCAUGUUAUAGGUAUGUUUAAAUUUUUCAUGUGUAUACCUAAUAACAUUGUAAUUUGUUUAAAUCGAGACGUUGAAUAUUAAAAUAUUAAACUCUAUGUACCUAGAGUAUGUUAGUUUUUAUUAUCAUACAUAAUUGUACUUAUUUAUAAUAUAACCCGUAUGUAACUUUUGAAUAUGUACAUAAUUGUACAUUAUUUGUGUCUAUGCAAUGUUUCCACUACUUAUUCCUCUGUAGUCCAUAUCUAACUAGCUGGGUUCGAAGAUGCAGAAGAUCAAGGAAGGAAGUUGGUGCCCUACGGCAUCAAUAUUAGUGCCCUACAUCUACCCUGUAGAUCCGAAUUUGUUUGAAGUGAGGCGACAAAUUCGGUUCUAGAGAGGUUUGUGUGGUGCAUGCACUGCGUCCUUCAAGACAAUGUGGGGAGACUGGAAGAAAAAAACCAUGGAGUUUCUUAGUAGUUUAUUAAUAAGUAGUGUUGGUUGUACAUUGACAUAGAUGUAAGAAUAGGAUGUGUGUAAUGUUCUGGUGUGUUUAAUAAAUUGUGUGUAAUGUGUGAGGUAUAUGGAAUUUAUAAAGACUUCAAUCUUUAUAAAUUCCAUAAAGGUAGAGUCAUUUGUAUUAAUGCAACUGUGUAUUUGUAUGUAACAAGAUUUAUGUGUGGAUGUUUAUAUAAUAUUAUAGUAAUAGUGAAGGGAUAAUAUGGUUGUAUAUUUUAUAAGUCACAGCUUUUUUAAAAUAAAUAAAGAUAUUAUUUUAAUCAUAUCACUGAUACGUACCUACAUAGAAGUGAAUAAAUAAUUUAUUACAUGUUCACAAAGUACCAAGUGCCAAAAAUUUUCAAAAGCAGUAUAAAACUGCAUGUAAAUAUUAGCUCUAUGAAGUGUUUUAUUACCACGAAAUAUCAAAUAUUCCGUUCUUCGAGCUUAAAGUAUAAUUAUAUAUCUACCUACCAAUAUUAAUAAGUGAAAUAAACUUAAAUGCUAAAAUUAAAAAAACCUUAUUUAACACACCAAUAAUAUUUAGAUUAAUAGCAAUAUACAAUUAUAAUAAUUAACUUCAAUGGUACUUUAACCCGGUAAAUAUUUAUUUUUAUUUUUUAUUUACUUCCUUAAGUUAUUACUAUAGAAAAUAUCUUCUAACAAACUGUUAAAUUAAUCUAUUACAUUUUGUAUGCUUUCUGCUUUUUGUAUAUAAUAAAAAAAUAAACCUGCAGAUUAAAAAAAUCUCCUUUUACAAUUCUUCUUCUUCUUUAGAUUAGGAUAAUAUGUUAUGUGCCCUCAAUGUAUUUACGUGGUUUUUGUAUAAUGUUAAUACAAAUUAUUGUAACUGUGUAUAAUUUUAGAACUACAUUUUCUGGUAUGUUGAUAUAUUUAAUUUAACGCGUAAAAAUAACCGUCAAUAAGGAUAUUGACUGGUUCAGGGUUUUGACUGUAACAUGCAUAACAUUGUCCUACAAAAAUUUAGAUUUAAAAUUUUAAUGGUCCUUUAUAAUAUCAUGUUGUAAACAUUGUAUUACUAUAGGUAUUUAUUUGGAACAAUUGUCCAUGUUCUAGCUGGUAAAUUUAUGUGAUAUUAUUAUGUGAUUGUCUGUUUCUAAGUAUUAUGAACGGUAUUCAUAUACAUUCUUGAUUUUUUACAUGUGCCUAGGUUGAAUAUACAAAAUAAUAAAAAAUACCAUCAUAA